RNAcentral lists this unclassified non-coding RNA (445 nucleotides) under Hevea brasiliensis (rubber tree). Lineage: Eukaryota; Viridiplantae; Streptophyta; Magnoliopsida; Malpighiales; Euphorbiaceae. The record is from RNAcentral.
GGAAAAUUACAAGAAAUAAAAAGAGAUACUGAGGCCUCUUGGCUGCCACAAGUUCACAACAAACUUCCUUCCGGAAAAAUAAUCCAUUUUCUUUUCUUUACUCUGAUGGAAAAUAAGCCUUGUCUCGCAGCCCAAACAAGGCCCCACCCCCAGCUCCAACCCAUUCUCGAACACCAUGAUCUCCCCUUCACGCUCCCUCAGUCUCUCUCCUCCCCAUUCAUCUUCUCUGAAAUCCAGGACCGCCCAACAGAGCAACCCUAUUCUACACGUGGAGCUCCGACUGACUACGGAUGGAAACCGGGUAAUCUCCACCGCUCCAAAACAGCUCCAGCCAUGGUCGUGAUGCGAGACUUGAAACCAGAAUCAACCCAAGAUCNNGCAAUCUGACUCCAGCUCCAUUAUCAGGCAAUCCAUUUUCCUGUUGUCUAUGUUUCUACUUCUCGGC